GCUGGGCAUGGUGGCGCAAGCCUUUAGUCCCAGCUACUCAGCAGGCUGAGACAGGAAGAUGGCUUGAGUUCAUGAGUUCUGGGCUGUAGUGUGCUAUGCCAAUCAGUGUUCGCACUAAGUUCCACCUCAAAUGGUGACCUCCCGGGAGCAGGGGACCAUCAGGUUGCCUAAGGAGGGGUGAAAAUGCCCAGGUUGGAAACAAAGCAGGUCAAAAUUUCUGUGCCGAUCAGAAGUGGCAUCGUGCCUGUGAAUAGCCACUGCAUUCCAGCCUGGGCAACGUAGUGAGACCCCAUCUCU
This 297-nucleotide signal recognition particle RNA is filed under the name Microtus ochrogaster (prairie vole). Its description in RNAcentral is "Metazoan signal recognition particle RNA (ENSMOCG00000012029.1)". It matches the Rfam family "Metazoan signal recognition particle RNA". Rfam says of the family: The signal recognition particle (SRP) is a universally conserved ribonucleoprotein. The record is from RNAcentral. Lineage: Eukaryota; Metazoa; Chordata; Mammalia; Rodentia; Cricetidae.